RNAcentral lists this transfer RNA (25 nucleotides) under Poecilia salvatoris. Its description in RNAcentral is "partial tRNA-Met". The record is from RNAcentral. Lineage: Eukaryota; Metazoa; Chordata; Actinopteri; Cyprinodontiformes; Poeciliidae.
GACGGUUAAAACCCUUCCUUUACCA